This 406-nucleotide ribosomal RNA is filed under the name uncultured bacterium. Its description in RNAcentral is "partial 16S ribosomal RNA". It matches the Rfam family "Bacterial small subunit ribosomal RNA", at positions 30 to 526 of the family's 1533-position model. The record is from RNAcentral.
AUUGAACGCUGGCGGCAGGCUUAACACAUGCAAGUCGAGCGAGCGGCGGACGGGUGAGUAAUGUCUGGGAAACUGCCUGAUGGAGGGGGAUCACUACUGGAAACGGUAGCUAAUACCGCAUACCAUCAGAUGUGCCCACAUGGGAUGAGCUGGUAGGUGGGGUAAUGGCUCACCUAGGCGACGAUCCCUAGCUGGUCUGAGAGGAUUACCAGCCACACUGGAACUGAGACACGGUCCAGACUCCUACGGGAGGGAGCAGUGGGGAAGAUUGCACAAUGGGCGAAAGCCUGAUAGAGCCAUGCCGCGUGUGUGAAGAAGGCCUUCGGGUUGUAAAGCACUUUCAGCGAGGAGGCGUUACUCACAGAAGAAGCACCGGCUAACUCCGUGCCAGCAGCCGCGGUAAUAC